AGAAUCAACGCUGGCGGCGUGCCUCAGACAUGCAAGUCGAACGCGAAAGUCCCCUUCGGGGGACAAGUAGAGUGGCGCACGGGUGAGUAACACGUAGGUAAUCUACCUUUGGAUGGGGAAUAACAACCGGAAACGGUUGCUAAUACCGCAUAAUGCAGCGGCACCUAAUGGUGACAGUUGUUAAAGCGGGGGAUCGAAAGACCUCGCGUCUGAAGAGGAGCCUGCGGCGAUUAGCUAGUUGGUAAGUAUGGCUUACAAGCUACGAUCC
RNAcentral lists this ribosomal RNA (268 nucleotides) under uncultured soil bacterium. Its description in RNAcentral is "partial 16S ribosomal RNA". It matches the Rfam family "Bacterial small subunit ribosomal RNA", at positions 26 to 282 of the family's 1533-position model. The record is from RNAcentral.